GAUGAACGCUGGCGGCGUGCCUAAUACAUGCAAGUCGAGCGAACAGACGAGGAGCUUGCUCCUCUGACGUUAGCGGCGGACGGGUGAGUAACACGUGGAUAACCUACCUAUAUGACUGGGAUAACUUCGGGAAACCGGAGCUAAUACCGGAUAAUAUAUUGAACCGCAUGGUUCAAUAGUGAAAGACGGUUUUGCUGUCUCUUAUAGCUGGAUCCGCGCCGCAUUAGCUAGUUGGUAAGGUAACGGCUUAUCAAGGCAACGAUGCGUAGCCGACCUGAGAGAGUGAUCGGCCACACUGGAACUGAGACGCGGUCCAUACUCCUACGAGACGCAGCAGUAGGGAAUCUUCCGCAAUGGGCGAAAGCCUGACGGAGCAACGCCGCGUGAGUGAUGAAGGUCUUCGGAUCGUAAAACUCUGUUAUUAGGGAAGAACAAAUGUGUAAGUAACUAAGCACGUCUUGACGGUACCUAAUCAGAAAGCCACGGCUAACUACGUG
Molecule: ribosomal RNA, 497 nt
Filed under: uncultured bacterium
Lineage: Bacteria
Description: partial 16S ribosomal RNA
Rfam family: Bacterial small subunit ribosomal RNA
Source: RNAcentral